UACGGAGGAUCCAAGCGUUAUCCGGAAUCAUUGGGUUUAAAGGGUCCGUAGGCGGUUUUGUAAGUCAGUGGUGAAAUCCGGCAGCUCAACUGUCGAACUGCCAUUGAUACUGCAGGACUUGAAUUAUUGUGAAGUAACUAGAAUAUGUAGUGUAGCGGUGAAAUGCUUAGAUAUUACAUGGAAUACCCAUUGCGAAGGCAGGUUACUAACAGUGGAUUGACGCUGAUGGACGAAAGCGUGGGGAGCGAACAGG
This 253-nucleotide ribosomal RNA is filed under the name uncultured Flavobacterium sp. RNAcentral's name for it is "partial 16S ribosomal RNA". It matches the Rfam family "Bacterial small subunit ribosomal RNA", at positions 524 to 776 of the family's 1533-position model. The record is from RNAcentral. Lineage: Bacteria; Pseudomonadati; Bacteroidota; Flavobacteriia; Flavobacteriales; Flavobacteriaceae.